UUCGGACGGCCAUGCUGAUAAAGUGAUAACGACAAAAGAUGGAUAUAAAGUUGAGUGUACAUAUAUCUAGGCGAGCGUCUACGUUUGUACUAUGAUCUACAAAGAUAUAUGCAAUUUAUUAAAAAAGAUAUGCAUGUAAUAAAUGCACAUAAACAAAUAUGCCUCUUUGCUUAAUAUGUAAGUUUCAAAAACAAAGAUAAAAGGCGUCAUGGCAGCAGUAUAAAUGAAUACCUGCGCCCUUCUCUUUUCCUCCUCACUCGACAAAAACAAAUCUCCCUAAUUUCAGUCAUGAAGGCCCAGGUCGCAGCAGCAACUGUCUUGGUCUUGCUCCUCCUGACCUUUGGUGAGUAAAUUCAUCCAAUCCCUGCCAAAGAAAAAGAAAUUGAACAUGAAUAUAGGCAGUAGCACUUGUUUUAUCCAUCCAAAUGUCCUGACUCGCCAUUGUUUUGAUUAUCUGGCUGAGCAUGUAGCUGCGGAGGCUCGUACGUGCAUGUCGCGAAGCCAGGAACAGAAAGGGAGGUGCUUUCACGAUACGGAUUGUGCCGCCGUCUGCGUCAAACAGAGC
Molecule: long non-coding RNA, 565 nt
Filed under: Zea mays
Lineage: Eukaryota; Viridiplantae; Streptophyta; Magnoliopsida; Poales; Poaceae
Description: long non-coding RNA (ZMAY_LNC004581)
Source: RNAcentral